This 821-nucleotide ribosomal RNA is filed under the name uncultured bacterium. RNAcentral's name for it is "bacterial SSU rRNA". It matches the Rfam family "Bacterial small subunit ribosomal RNA", at positions 56 to 882 of the family's 1533-position model. The record is from RNAcentral.
UGCAAGUCGACGCGUUCCGGGGGGCAACUCCCGGGAUGAGUGGCGAACGGGUGAGUAACACGUGGGUCAUCUCCCCUCGAGUGAGGAAUAAGCCCCCGAAAGGGGGUCUAAUACUGCAUAACGCCCGGGAACAUAAGUCCCCGUGCCAAAGCCGUAAGGCGCUUGAGGAUGAGCCUGCGUCCUAUUAGCUAGUUGGUAGGGUAAUGGCCUACCAAGGCGAAGAUGGGUAGCCGGCCUGAGAGGGUGAACGGCCACACUGGGACUGAGACACGGCCCAGACUCCUACGGGAGGCAGCAGUGAGGAAUUUUGCGCAAUGGGGGAAACCCUGACGCAGCGACGCCGCGUGGAGGAUGAAGGCCUUCGGGUCGUAAACUCCUGUCAGAGGUGAAGAAUACCCGCAAGGGUUUGACGGUAACCUCAAAGGAAGCCCCGGCUAACUACGUGCCAGCAGCCGCGGUAAUACGUAGGGGGCAAACGUUGCUCGGAAUUACUGGGCGUAAAGGGUGAGUAGGCGGCUGGGCAAGUCAAGGAUGAAAUCCCGUGGCUUAACUGCGGAACUGUCCUUGAAACUGCCUAGCUUGAGGAUAGUUGAAGAGAAGGGAAUUCUCGGUGGAGCGGUGAAAUGCGUAGAUAUCGGGAGGAACACCUGAGGCGAAAGCGCUUCUCUAAGCUACUCCUGACGCUGAAUCACGAAAGCUAGGGGAGCAAACGGGAUUAGAUACCCCGGUAGUCCUAGCCUUAAACGAUGGACGCUAGAUAUUCCUGCAUUCAUGUGGGAGUGUCGAAGCUAACGCGUUUAAGCGUCCCGCCCUGGGGAGUA